AGCAAAAGAAGGGCGUAUGGGGAAUGCCUAGGCUCUCAGAGGCGAUGAAGGACGUGAUAAGCUGCGAUAAGCUACACUGAGAGGCAAAUACUCGUUGAGGUGUAGAUUUCCGAAUGGGGUAACCCGGUAUUGUGAAGCAAUAUCAUCCGAAAGGAAGCAUACCCGGAGAACUGAAACAUCUAAG
Molecule: ribosomal RNA, 184 nt
Filed under: Striatella unipunctata
Lineage: Eukaryota; Bacillariophyta; Striatellaphyceae; Striatellales; Striatellaceae
Description: partial Bacterial large subunit ribosomal RNA
Rfam family: Bacterial large subunit ribosomal RNA
Source: RNAcentral